This 772-nucleotide ribosomal RNA is filed under the name uncultured Neocallimastigales. RNAcentral's name for it is "partial large subunit ribosomal RNA". It matches the Rfam family "Eukaryotic large subunit ribosomal RNA", at positions 24 to 645 of the family's 3401-position model. Lineage: Eukaryota; Fungi; Neocallimastigomycota; Neocallimastigomycetes; Neocallimastigales. The record is from RNAcentral.
AUCUCUGUAGAGUCUGCAUAUCAAUAAGCGGAGGAAAAGAAACUAACAAGGAUUCCCUUAGUAACGGCGAGUGAAGCGGGAAGAGCUCAAAUUUGAAAUCUUCAAGGUUCUACCUUGACGAAUUGUAGUUUAAAGAAGUGUUUUCUGUUAGAUGAGUAGCAAAAGUUCCUUGGAAUGGGACAUCAUAGAGGGUGAGAAUCCCGUAUUUGGUUAUUCAUUCUAGCUUUGUGAUACACUUUCAAAGAGUCGGAUUGUUUGGGAAUGCAGUCCAAAAUGGGUGGUAAAUUUCAUCUAAAGCUAAAUAUUGGCGAGAGACCGAUAGCGAACAAGUACCGUGAGGGAAAGAUGAAAAGAACUUUGAAAAGAGAGUUAAACAGUACGUGAAAUUGUCAAAAGGAAGCGUUUGACACCAGUGUUGUUUUUCCGAAAAUCAAUUACGAAUGGCUUGAUUCUGUGUUGUAUUGACCUUAUCAGCUUUCUUCACUUUUUUCGAGUCUUUCUUAAUGCACUUUUCGGUUAACAAGUCAACAUCAAUUUCUUUUGUUGUGAAAGAGUAUUCGGAAGGUGGCUUUCUUUUCGGAGAAAGUGUUUAUAGCCCUAUACUUCUACAAUCGGAGAGAUUGAGGUCUGCAGCGUAGAUCCUUCGGGGUUAGAUACACUUGUGCUAAGUUGUAGCUUUUCAUAGACAACUUGUUGACUAUGUUUAGUCAUGCGGCUUACUCGCUUGUGCUAUUUUACCUACGCUUAGGAUGUUGACGAGACUGUCGAUCUC